ACUUGCAGCCUGGGGACAUCUUGCUCUUCCCCUUGGACAGACUCAAAAACUUCAUUGUCCAGACUAUCUUCAAGCAUGCCAUGUACUGUGUGGAUGGCGAGGUCAUACACUUUGUGACUUCGGAAACGUGAUGUGAUCAGCAGUUAGAUGACUUCUGGUAUGACCACCAAAGGAGGUUUGGUGAAAAUGAAAAAGGAGAGGGGAAACUACCUGAUUUACCAGAAAAAAGAUGGGGUUAAACUCAAUGACUUCGGAGGAAAGUCAUGGAGGCGAUGAACAGCGAAGCUGAGUAUUGCGCCAGCAAGAACAACUGCAUCCACUUCACCCUCUCCCUCCUGGGCUUGGAGAAGUUCUCCUCACAACUGGUGCAAAUCCGAUGUUAAUGUUGCAGCUGCUGCAGUGGGGCUGUCAUCUGAAGCCCCACAGCCCGGUGGGGCAGGGGAGCAGCCACAUGGCGUGAGGAGUGGCAGCCCCAUGUCCCUGGAGGAUGGUCCCCCCCAACCCACAGAGGAGCCUCAGCAUCGCCCCGCGCACCCCAACAACUUGCCCAGGGAAGGAGCUUUUCUUUGGGAGGGUGGGGGACGUUGCUUUCUGCUUCCUGGAGCUUAAUUGCCAUGUGCUAAUCUGAUGUUUUAUUGAACUUUGCUACCUGAAACGAGCCUGAUUUUACCUACAGCCUCAGUCCUGCCUGAUGGGCUGUGAGAGCUGCCCGGCUGCCACCAGACUCUGGGGCUUCAUAGCUGCCAAUACUAGUAAUUACCAGUG
This 765-nucleotide long non-coding RNA is filed under the name Columba livia (rock pigeon). Its description in RNAcentral is "partial uncharacterized LOC106145967". Lineage: Eukaryota; Metazoa; Chordata; Aves; Columbiformes; Columbidae. The record is from RNAcentral.